Molecule: ribosomal RNA, 280 nt
Filed under: uncultured bacterium
Lineage: Bacteria
Description: partial 16S ribosomal RNA
Rfam family: Bacterial small subunit ribosomal RNA
Source: RNAcentral
UUACCUACGGGGGGCAGCAGUGGGGAAUUUUGCGCAAUGCUCGUAAGAGUGACGCAGCGACGCCGCGUGAGGGAUGAAGGUCUUCGGAUCGUAAACCUCUGUCAGCAGGGAAGAACGGUCACUGUGCUAAUCAGCAGUGAAUUGACGGUACCUGCAAAGGAAGCACCGGCUAACUCCGUGCCAGCAGCCGCGGUAAUACGGAGGGUGCGAGCGUUAAUCGGAAUUACUGGGCGUAAAGCGCUCGUAGGCGGUAUGUCAAGUCAAGGGGGAAAUCCCCGCG